Molecule: long non-coding RNA, 226 nt
Filed under: Elaeis guineensis (African oil palm)
Lineage: Eukaryota; Viridiplantae; Streptophyta; Magnoliopsida; Arecales; Arecaceae
Description: long non-coding RNA (EGUI_LNC015602)
Source: RNAcentral
AAGUCUCCAGGAUAUUUUUUUAUAUAUUUAUUUAUAAAUGUUUUGGAUUUCUAUUGGCAGUUUUCACCAUUGAAUUUAACAGUAAUGUUACACCCUCUAUAUCUAACCGCGUCCAUGCAUCAAACAAUAAGCUUAAAGCAUAGACUUUUCCUCCAUUCACGUCCAACCUGACUUAACACUGAAUACAACUCAAAUUAUCGGCUGUUAGGUUUACACUUUGAAUUGC